GCCCCUUUAGCUCAGUGGUAGAGCAUCGGAUUGCAGUUUGCUGAUUAUCCGCGUGUCACUAGUUCGAUCCUGGUAGGGGGCU
Non-coding RNA from Atractiella rhizophila, 82 nucleotides. The record is from the annotation of a GenBank genome assembly. NCBI's taxonomy places the organism in Eukaryota, Fungi, Basidiomycota, Atractiellomycetes, Atractiellales, Hoehnelomycetaceae.